RNAcentral lists this ribosomal RNA (501 nucleotides) under uncultured archaeon. Its description in RNAcentral is "bacterial SSU rRNA". It matches the Rfam family "Archaeal small subunit ribosomal RNA", at positions 358 to 859 of the family's 1478-position model. The record is from RNAcentral.
UACGAAAGUGCGACGGGGGGAUCCCAAGUGUUAUGCUUUUUUGUAUGACUUUUCAUUAGUGUAAAAAGCUUUUAGAAUAAGAGCUGGGCAAGACCGGUGCCAGCCGCCGCGGUAACACCGGCAGCUCGAGUGGUAGCUGUUUUUAUUGGGCCUAAAGCGUUCGUAGCCGGUUUGAUAAGUCUUUGGUGAAAGCUUGUAGCUUAACUAUAAGAAUUGCUGGAGAUACUAUUAGACUUGAAGUCGGGAGAGGUUAGAGGUACUACCGGGGUAGGGGUGAAAUCCUAUAAUCCUGGGAGGACCACCUGUGGCGAAGGCGUCUAACUGGAACGAUCUUGACGGUGAGUAACGAAAGCCAGGGGCGCGAACCGGAUUAGAUACCCGGGUAGUCCUGGCCGUAAACGAUGUGGACUUGGUGUUGGAAUGGCUUUGAGUUGUUCCGGUGCCGAAGGGAAGCUGUUAAGUCCACCGCCUGGGAAGUACGGUCGCAAGACUGAAACUUAA